UGGGGAAUUUUGGACAAUGGGGGAAACCCUGAUCCAGCCAUCCCGCGUGUGCGAUGAAGGCCUUCGGGUUGUAAAGCACUUUUGGCAGGAAAGAAACGUCAUGGGUUAAUACCCCGUGAAACUGACGGUACCUGCAGAAUAAGCACCGGCUAACUACGUGCCAGCAGCCGCGGUAAUACGUAGGGUGCAAGCGUUAAUCGGAAUUACUGGGCGUAAAGCGUGCGCAGGCGGUUCGGAAAGAAAGAUGUGAAAUCCCAGAGCUCAACUUUGGAACUGCAUUUUUAACUACCGGGCUAGAGGGUGUCAGAGGGAGGUGGAAUUCCGCGUGUGGCAGUGAAAUGCGUAGAUAUGCGGAGGAACACCGAUGGCGAAGGCAGCCUCCUGGGAUAACACUGACGCUCAUGCACGAAAGCGUGGGGAGCAAACAGG
Molecule: ribosomal RNA, 429 nt
Filed under: Acidobacteriota bacterium
Lineage: Bacteria; Pseudomonadati; Acidobacteriota
Description: Acidobacteria bacterium partial 16S ribosomal RNA
Rfam family: Bacterial small subunit ribosomal RNA
Source: RNAcentral